UGCCAGACUCCUACGGGAGGCAGCAGUGGGGAAUAUUGGGCAAUGGGGGAAACCCUGACCCAGCGACGCCGCGUGAGGGAAGAAGGUUUUCGGAUUGUAAACCUCUGUCCUUGGUGACGAUAAUGACGGUAGCCAAGGAGGAAGCCACGGCUAACUACGUGCCAGCAGCCGCGGUAAUACGUAGGGGGCAAGCGUUAUCCGGAUUUACUGGGUGUAAAGGGAGCGUAGACGGUCCUGCAAGCCAGAUGUGAAAGCCCGGGGCUCAACCCCGGGACUGCAUUUGGAACUGUAAGGCUAGAGUGUCGGAGAGGCAGGCGGAAUUCCUAGUGUAGCGGUGAAAUGCGUAGAUAUUAGGAGGAACACCAGUGGCGAAGGCGGCCUGCUGGACGAUGACUGACGUUGAGGCUCGAAAGCGUGGGGAGCAAACAGGAUUAGAUACCCUCGUAUG
RNAcentral lists this ribosomal RNA (448 nucleotides) under uncultured bacterium. Its description in RNAcentral is "bacterial SSU rRNA". It matches the Rfam family "Bacterial small subunit ribosomal RNA", at positions 329 to 793 of the family's 1533-position model. The record is from RNAcentral.